Molecule: ribosomal RNA, 497 nt
Filed under: uncultured bacterium
Lineage: Bacteria
Description: partial 16S ribosomal RNA
Rfam family: Bacterial small subunit ribosomal RNA (bases 52-497)
Source: RNAcentral
GGGGGGGGGGGGGGGGGGGCGUAGGGGGGGGAGGGCGGGGGGGGGGGGGAGGGGCGGGCGCCGGUGGCGGGAGCGGCGGGCGGGGGAGUAACACGGGGAUAAGCUACCUGUAAGGCGGGGGGAGCGUCGGGAAACUGGUGCGAGUACCGGAUAAUAUAUUGACCCGCCUGGUUCAAGAGUGACAGACGGUUGUGCGGGCCCUUACAGCAUGGUCCGCGCCGCAUGAGCUAGUUGAUCAGGUAACGGCUUACGCCGGCAACGAUGCGUACCCGACCUGAGAGGGUGAUCGGCCACACUGGAACUGAGACACGGUCCAGACUCCUACGGGAGGCAGCAGUAGGGAAUCUUCCGCAAUGGGCGAAAGCCUGACGGAGCAACGCCGCGUGAGUGAUGAAGGUCUUCGGAUCGUAAAACUCUGUUAUUAGGGAAGAACAAAUGUGUAAGUAACUAUGCACGUCUUGACGGUACCUAAUCAGAAAGCCACGGCUAGCUACGUG